Long non-coding RNA from Zootoca vivipara (common lizard), 1576 nucleotides. RefSeq lists it as uncharacterized. The record is from RefSeq and is a predicted model, not a curated record. Lineage: Eukaryota; Metazoa; Chordata; Lepidosauria; Squamata; Lacertidae.
UGUUCAAAACCAGACCUCCGUGGUGGUCGAACUCAGAAAAGUUCUUAGCUGCUGCAGCGGCUCAUUUAAGCUGCAGCGCGUUAGGGAUGCAAGAUAAAAGCUAUUGAGAAAGGGACUACGGUAGAGCUAAUGAUGAUGAAGGUAAUCAAGAUUUUAAUGAUGAUUGCGCCUAGCUUCUCUGGCUGAUGCACCCGGCCAAACGCGGAUCGCCCUGUCACCUCUGCGCCGUUUGUGCCAAGGAGCCCGCGCAGAGCGAUCCUAAGCACGUUUCCGCUCCAAAAAGACGCAGAGGAAAUUCGGCUCCAUUAGAUACGGCUACGAAGGAGAACUGAGUUUCAAAAGUUUGCCGCGUGGAUGCACUGCCCUCCGUUUUCCUAUAUUUCCACCCUUGCCUGUGACUGAAGAAUGCGGACCUGCCACUGAUCCUGCUGUUAGCAUCAGGCAUGCGUUGGCGCUCGGAGAUGUCUUGACGGAGGACAUCUAAGUGUGAAGAGCUGUUGUGUGUAGGCUUCCAUACAACUGGGACCCCCAUAAGUCAACAGCAGCCAAGUAAGAAUCAUAUAAACAUUUACAUUUAAGAGCGAGAUUCACUGAUAGUGUAUCUUCAACAGAUCUUUCAAAAUUAUAUCAACGCAAUUGUAAUGUUGUUAUGUUGGAUUGUAAGCCAGGGUUAGCCAAUGAGGUGGCCUCUGGAUGUUGUUGGGCCAGAGCUCCCAACAUCAUUGUUGGGCCAGAGCUCCCUAAUCAUUGGCCAUCUGGUCACUUCUCUUCUUUUAGUUCUUCUCUUUGCGCUUUUAGUUGAGCUAUGUCAGAAACCUAACCAAAUGACUCAUAGAAUUUUGGGAUAUGCUUCUCUCUCUCUCUCUCCCUCUCCCUCUCCCUCUCCCUCUCCCCCCCUCUCUCUCUCUCUCUCUCUCUCUCUCUCUCUCCUUCUGAUUACAAAGAAGGGCCCACAAGUAUAGCAAAACCAUAACAGGGGAUGUUUUCAACAUUGCUGCCUUUCUUAAUCACUCCUUAGCUUUUGUAAAUAAUCUGCGCAAGUACAUCCGCAGGACGUCACAGGGACACCAAUGAGUAAUUGGCAGUUCAACAGUGAAAACCAUGAGACCAUGAACAUUUUAUAUGAAUUUUCUCAUCAUCACAGGCCUUUCUUCCUAUUCCUUGGAAUUCAUCGGAAACAAAUGUUUUGAAUUGUAGCUGCUUAAUGCCAGACACUUAUUAAUUCUAUUUAUUUACUUUUUAAAAAAUUCCAUAUCCUGAAGAAGCGUUUACUCAACGAGGCAGGUUUAAAAAUAUAUUUAUAUAGUAACUAAUAUACUUAACCAGAUUUUUUCUGCCUUCCCUUUGAUGAAUUUUCGCUUGCACUUUCUGAAAGACUUCCCCUGCCCCCCAGGAUUUCAACGAUCAUUUUUGUUAUUUGCUUUUCCUGUUCAAUGUUUUGCAGAGAAAAAUAAAAUAAAACUUGUUGCGUUUAUCACAUGCCACAUUUUCUUACAAUGGAUGUGUGAGAGAUAUGACUAAUUCAGAUUUAAUGGUUUUGAUGUGUGAUCAAAGAAAAAAGAGAGGACAACUGGGU